This 492-nucleotide ribosomal RNA is filed under the name uncultured bacterium. Its description in RNAcentral is "partial 16S ribosomal RNA". It matches the Rfam family "Bacterial small subunit ribosomal RNA", at positions 29 to 507 of the family's 1533-position model. The record is from RNAcentral.
AGUGAACGCUGGCGGUAGGCCUAACACAUGCAAGUCGAACGGCAGCACAGUAAGAGCUUGCUCUUACGGGUGGCGAGUGGCGGACGGGUGAGGAAUACAUCGGAAUCUACUUUUUCGUGGGGGAUAACGUAGGGAAACUUACGCUAAUACCGUAUACGACCUACGGGUGAAAGCAGGGGAUCUUCGGACCUUGCGCGAUUGAAUGAGCCGAUGUCGGAUUAGCUAGUUGGCGGGGUAAAGGCCCACCAAGGCGACGAUCCGUAGCUGGUCUGAGAGGAUGAUCAGCCACACUGGAACUGAGACACGGUCCAGACUCCUACGGGAGGCAGCAGUGGGGAAUAUUGGACAAUGGGCGCAAGCCUGAUCCAGCCAUACCGCGUGGGUGAAGAAGGCCUUCGGGUUGUAAAGCCCUUUUGUUGGGAAAGAAAAGCAGCAGGUUAAUACCCCGCUGUUCUGACGGUACCCAAAGAAUAAGCAUCGGCUAACUUCGUG